RNAcentral lists this ribosomal RNA (471 nucleotides) under uncultured bacterium. Its description in RNAcentral is "bacterial SSU rRNA". It matches the Rfam family "Bacterial small subunit ribosomal RNA", at positions 355 to 825 of the family's 1533-position model. The record is from RNAcentral.
UGGGGAAUCUUGCGCAAUGGGCGAAAGCCUGACGCAGCGACGCCGCGUGAGUGAUGAAGGCCUUCGGGUUGUAAAGCUCUGUGGGGAGAGAAGAAUAAGUGCGGGCUAAUACCCCGCAUGAUGACGGUAUCUCCUUAGCAAGCACCGGCUAACUCUGUGCCAGCAGCCGCGGUAAGACAGAGGGUGCAAACGUUGUUCGGAAUUACUGGGCGUAAAGCGAGUGUAGGCGGUUUGGUAAGUCGGAUGUGAAAGCCCCGGGCUCAACCCGGGAAGUGCAUUCGAUACUGCCAAGCUAGAGUAUCGGAGAGGUUGGUGGAAUUCUCGGUGUAGAGGUGAAAUUCGUAGAUAUCGAGAGGAACACCGGUGGCGAAGGCGGCCAACUGGACGAAUACUGACGCUGAGACUCGAAAGCGUGGGGAGCAAACAGGAUUAGAUACCCAGGUAGUCCCUGAGCGGGCUGGCAAGGCGCAU